This 75-nucleotide transfer RNA is filed under the name Alphaproteobacteria bacterium. RNAcentral's name for it is "tRNA-Asn". It matches the Rfam family "tRNA". Rfam says of the family: Transfer RNA (tRNA) molecules are approximately 80 nucleotides in length. Their secondary structure includes four short double-helical elements and three loops (D, anti-codon, and T loops). Further hydrogen bonds mediate the characteristic L-shaped molecular structure. tRNAs have two regions of fundamental functional importance: the anti-codon, which is responsible for specific mRNA codon recognition, and the 3' end, to which the tRNAs corresponding amino acid is attached (by aminoacyl-tRNA synthetases). tRNAs cope with the degeneracy of the genetic code in two manners: having more than one tRNA (with a specific anti-codon) for a particular amino acid; and 'wobble' base-pairing, i.e. permitting non-standard base-pairing at the 3rd anti-codon position. The record is from RNAcentral. Lineage: Bacteria; Pseudomonadati; Pseudomonadota; Alphaproteobacteria.
UCCCCGGUAGCUCAGCGGUAGAGCUAGCGACUGUUAAUCGCUCGGUCGGCGGUUCGAAUCCGUCCCGGGGAGCCA